GAUGAACGCUGGCGGCGUGCCUAAUACAUGCAAGUAGAACGCUGAAGCUUGGUGCUUGCGCCGAGCGGAGGAGUUGCGAACGGGUGAGUAACGCGUAGGUAACCUGCCUCUUAGCGGGGGAUAACUAUUGGAAACGAUAGCUAAUACCGCAUAAAAGUCGACAUUGCAUGAUGUUGACUUGAAAGGUGCAACUGCAUCACUAAGAGAUGGACCUGCGUUGUAUUAGCUAGUUGGUGAGGUAACGGCUCACCAAGGCGACGAUACAUAGCCGACCUGAGAGGGUGAUCGGCCACACUGGGACUGAGACACGGCCCAGACUCCUACGGGAGGCAGCAGUAGGGAAUCUUCGGCAAUGGACGGAAGUCUGACCGAGCAACGCCGCGUGAGUGAAGAAGGUUUUCGGAUCGUAAAGCUCUGUUGUAAGAGAAGAACGAGUGUGAGAGUGGAAAGUUCACACUGUGACGGUAACUUACCAGAAAGGGACGGCUAACUACGUGC
RNAcentral lists this ribosomal RNA (498 nucleotides) under uncultured Streptococcus sp. RNAcentral's name for it is "bacterial SSU rRNA". It matches the Rfam family "Bacterial small subunit ribosomal RNA", at positions 28 to 508 of the family's 1533-position model. The record is from RNAcentral. Lineage: Bacteria; Bacillati; Bacillota; Bacilli; Lactobacillales; Streptococcaceae.